Molecule: long non-coding RNA, 292 nt
Filed under: Physcomitrium patens
Lineage: Eukaryota; Viridiplantae; Streptophyta; Bryopsida; Funariales; Funariaceae
Description: long non-coding RNA (PPAT_LNC010758)
Source: RNAcentral
UUUGCUUCAAGAAAAUGAUGGGCUUCUGGUUGUCACUAAUCAUUCAAUCAAGCUUCAAAAUAAGGAAAGCCCUAAGUUUACAUAUAAUUUUUUUUUUUAGCAAUUAUACCAAAUAUACAAGCCUCAAGUAACCAACAACAUCCAAAAUAUGAUAAAUCCUUUAAAACCUUGUAUAUUCUUAUGUAAAAAAUUGUCAAAACUUCAACAAUUCAUAUCUCCUAAUCCGACCGUCCAAACAAACUCAAAUUUUACUUGAGAUACUGAUAUAUUCUUAUUAAUUUUUUUAACAAAU